Alnus glutinosa is the source of this 2482-nucleotide RNA transcript. It is a transcript of the gene named chaperonin 60 subunit alpha 2, chloroplastic, with no coding region annotated. The record is from RefSeq and is a predicted model, not a curated record. The transcript is spliced from 10 exons. Lineage: Eukaryota; Viridiplantae; Streptophyta; Magnoliopsida; Fagales; Betulaceae.
CAAACCCUCUAAAACCUUUGGAAAUCCCCAGCGUUCAGAACCACCGUGUCCUCCAAAACCCAUAAACCAUUUCUUCAAGAAAUGUCUGUUUCCUUCUGUUCUCCUUCACUCUUCUAUCAAAAACCUCUCUUUCCUAAUCUUUUUGGGAACCAAAGAGUAUCUGUGUUAUGGAGAAAUCCACAUAUUUUGAGGAAACUUGUGGUCAGAGCAGGCCCCAAGAGGGUAUCUUUUGGAAGAGAAUGUAGGGAGGCCUUGCAAGCUGGGAUUGAUAAGCUAGCUGAUGCUGUUUCUAUCACCCUAGGACCAAGAGGACGUAAUGUUGUUCUUUUUGAGUCUGGUGCACUAAAGGUAAUAAAUGAUGGUGUUACAAUUGCUCGAUCCAUAGAGCUUUCAGAUGCAGUUGAGAAUGCAGGAGCAAUGCUAAUCCAAGAGGUUGCAAGUAAAAUGAAUGAUUUGGCUGGUGAUGGUACAACUACUGCAAUUGUUUUGGCUCGAGCAAUGAUCAAAUCUGGGUCAUUGGCAGUUGCUUUUGGUGCUAACCCAAUCUCUUUGAAGAAAGGGAUGGAUAAGACUGUAAAAGAAUUGGUCAAGGUCUUGAAGAAGAAAAGUGUGCCUGUAAAAGGAAGGGAUGAUAUUAAAGCUGUGGCCUCAAUUUCUGCCGGAAAUGAUGAGUUCAUUGGGAACUUAAUUUCUGAAGCUAUAGAAAAGAUUGGCCCUGAUGGAAUAAUCUCUGUCGAGUCAUCCACAUCAUCUGAGACCUCAGUGAUAAUUGAAGAAGGAAUGACGAUUGGCAAAGGUUACAUGUCACCCCACUUCAUUACAGACCACAACAAAUCUGUAGUGGAGUUUGACAAUGCUAAAGUUCUAGUAACUGAUCAGAGGAUUUCUACUGUCAAAGAACUUGUUCCUUUACUGGAAAAGACCACACAACUGAGUGUCCCACUGCUAAUCAUUGCAGAGGAUAUCUCCAGGCAAGUACUGGAAACACUAGUGGUGAACAAAAUGCAAGGUCUACUAAAUGUUGCUGUUGUCAAAUGCCCAGGUUUAGGAGAAGGAAAGAAAGCUCUGCUGCAAGAUAUUGCCCUAAUGACAGGUGCUGAUUUUCUCUCUGGAGAUUUGGGUUUGACGCUUGAUGUUGCAACAUCAGAUCAGCUUGGCAUUGCACGAAAAGUAACUGUGACGAGUAAUUCAACAACCAUAGUUGCGGACCCUACUACUCAAGCUGAAAUUCAGGCAAGAAUUUUGCAGAUCAAGAAGGAUCUAGCGGAAACAGAUAAUGCAUACUUGUCAAGGAAACUCUCAGAAAGAAUUGCUAAACUCUCUGGUGGUGUGGCUGUGAUUAAGGUAGGAGCACACACUGAGGUGGAACUUGAAGAUCGGAAACUCAGAGUUGAAGAUGCAAAGAAUGCCACAUUUGCUGCCAUGGAUGAAGGGAUAGUGCCUGGGGGUGGUACUGCAUAUGUACACCUCUCAGAAUUGAUUCCCAUCAUAAAGAAUUCUAUGGAAGAUCUAGAUGAGCAGAUUGGUGCAGAUAUUGUUGCAAAGGCACUUCUUGCACCUGCAAAAUUAAUUGCUACCAAUGCAGGAGUCGAUGGAGACAUUGUUGUAGAGAAGACUAGAACCUGUGAUUGGCGAACUGGAUACAAUGCAAUGACAUGCAGGUAUGAAGAUCUUCUGAGUGCUGGAGUUGCAGAUCCUUGUCGGGUUUCAAGAUGUGCACUUCAAAGUGCGGUGUCAAUUGCAGGGGUAGUUCUAACCACUCAAGCUGUAUUGGUGGAGAAAACAAAGAAGCCCAAGCCACCCAUCCCUCUGGUUCCAGGCAUAACUCCUUAAAGAAAAGAAAAAAGAAAAAAGAGAGAUUAGUUGGAAAGCUAGUUAACAACUGGGAAAGUACUUUAUGUGAGUAUGCAUAUUGCACUGGUUCAAAGAAAAGCAUUUUGAAUAUGAGUUUCUUGGUUUUGACUUGAGAUGAUAGAAGCUUUAGAAACUGCAAAGAGGCCAGACAAGUCAACUUUCAAUUCGAUAUUUUGGAGUGAGAGGGCAUGAAAUGCCAUACAUGAACAACGGGGUUUUAUAUCCGGAAGUUAUCGCUACGGGCACGGUACAAUGGAUGAUCGAUAUUGUUGCAGCCGUGGCAGUAAAGUUAUUUAUGGAAUUGGGGCAGCACACCUCCUUGAUCAACCAAAUUGUGUGCCAAUGUUGCGACAUCAUCCUCUUAAGACAGGAUAUUGCGUUCGUGUUUGCUCCCAACACUGCAAUGACUAAUCAAAUUGAGGUUGUACGCAAAUCAAAUUUUGUAUACACAGCAAACGAAGACAAAGUUUGUUGAUAUCAGCGUCAUUUGAAGCAGGUAAUUUCCAUUUGCACGUCAUCUGUAUAGAGUUGUCAAAAUCAAUUUAAGUGACUUCAACUUCCCACACGAAUAUUUGUUGAACAAACUCGACUCUUUUUUAGCAGAGCUGCCUACUGAGAUUUCACAUCA